AACAUUUUAGAGUAUAAGUAAAUGCAUAAAAGUGCUUAAACUUGAAUUGCUACAAAAUAUAGAAGCCAUUUGGAAAUGUUUUAUGGAUUACAUUAAUGUGUGUGUGUGCCCAAGAAACAUAAGAUAUAUAUUUGUUGUUGCAUAAUGAGUUCUGACAGCACGCUUCCUAGAAGGUGACGUUCACCUAAGCAGUAUUUUACUUUUCAUUCUACAGCAUUGCAAAAAGUGACUAAUGAUAGAGAAAAUACUGAAGAGCAUCUCCUUUGAUACUAACUUCAAGCUUCUAAACCGUGAGAAGGACCCAUUUAAAACAUUAGGCUCAUUUACUGAUGAGAGUGGACCAAAGAAAAUCACUCUAUGCAUCUAAGCAACAAGUCUUUGCUUCAAAGUCUUCUGAGACUAGAAGAGCCCCUGGAGCAAUCAUUCUGCUUCCAUAUCCACACCAUGGAACUCUUAGUCCCAGACCCUCAAAUUACAGUACCUGAGGGAAAAUUUAGGGGGCACUGAAACCAAAUACCUUCACAUGUCAGAUGAUAAAAUAAAUCAGGUAGACAAAAAGUCUUAUCCACAUCAUGCAGAGACCAAAACCCAGAGCUCCACAUUUUCAGGCAGAGCCCUCAGCCUCACAUCACUAGGCUUCAUUUCUACCAAUAUCACACUAGUGACUAAAUGUCCUUUGCCACUAGAAUGUAUUUAUGCAGAACUAAACUAAAGUAUCGAUGAUCAAAUUAGAUUUAUUUCUUCUCAUUCAGUCCUUAAGUGGAAACAGCAAAAUGCUGGUUGCCUUCUCUUAAAAAAAAAACAAACAAAAUGGGAAGGAAGGAAGGAAGGAAGGAGGGAAGGAAGGAAGGAAGGAGGGAAGGAAGGAAGGAAGGAAGGAAGGAAGGAAGGAAGGAAGGAGGGAAGGAGGGAAGGAAGGAAGGAAGGAAGAAAAAUAAAAAAGCAAGAACGAACAAAGAGUGAACAAAUGAACAAACGGAAGAAAGAAUGAAAAAGAAAAGAAAGAAAACAAGAAAUGAAGAAAGAGAGGAAGAAAGAAAAGAAAGAAAAAGAGAAAGAGAAAGAAAUAAAGAAAGAAAGAAAAGAAAGAAAACCUAAAGAUCUUUUAUCGUCACAUUCAAAUAAGAGUAAAUCUCCAGAGGCCAUCUUAUCUACCCCUUCCCACUGGGCAUUACUCAACAGAGAACCAAUAGCUAGGAACUUCCUCUAUUCCUGAAGAUUUUCAAGAAAGGAAGAGAAAUAUCUCGGGAAGUUUAGGAAACAUAAAUGUUUAGGCUCAUUUAUUGAUGGAAGUGGGCAAAAUCAAAUCAUCCUAUGCAUCUUAGUAACACUAUGUGGUAUCACAAGCAGCUUGACAUAGCAGGCUGGCAUCAAUUGUCGUAGGUAAGUGCUAAUUGCUGAAGAUCUACCAAAUUUGCUGUGUGCUUUUACUAAAAAUAUCUUUGAAAGUUCCACAGCCUUCCAAGAUUUUGUAUUCCUUGAUAUAAUCUUUAAAUUGCCUUCUUCACAUUCCCUCUUGUUUGUUAGUAAUGAAAUGCCAGUGAUCACAGUACUGGAAGAAAGAAAAUAAAGAAGAGGACAAUAGAAAAUCAUGGUUAUGAUUUGUGGAGCAAAGAAGGGCUUUCAGCAUUAAUAUUUACGUUAAUGUUUACAUUAAAGUGGGACAGAUUACACUACUUUUUACCCACUUCACUUAUUCUUACCCUGCAUAGAGUUAAAUACUUACUGUUUGUGCCUUGUGAGAACUCUAAAAUUAUAGUGUACUAGUAAAUCUACUUUAUCUUGCUGGCACGAGUCAGCAGACAAAACAGGAGCAGGAGAAAUAUGUUGUCAAAUCAAUGGUGAUACUGACUGAAUUUUAUCAGUGUUUCAUCUUUAGCUGAACUAUAUGAACUCAUUGAGAUUUUAAAAAAUAUGUAAACUGUCUAAUCUAUUUUAUAGCUCUGUUUUACAGAGUUAUAACAUGCCAAGAACAAAGUUACAAAAUCCAAAACAUACAAGAUAGCAUCACCUCUAUUUUUUUCUGAAAAUUCCGAAAGUGCAAUGAUUAGAACACACUUCAAACCUCACAGCUCUGUAUUACUUAGGAAAAAAAUCCCAACAGCUAUCCAGUUGUGCUGUGAGGUCAUUUCUCAAAGCAUGGGCAUUAAGAAACCUAGCAAUCUAUGUUUAUGGUUUCUUUAUCUGGUAGUAUAAUACAAUGAAAAUCUCACAUAUAAAAUUUAUAAUGUGAUAUGUACAGGUACAAGGGAGGAAUUGCUAUGUUCCAAAUGAUUUUCUGUCAUCCCUUAGUUCACUGUUUCUUUAAUCCUUUAAAACAAUCUGUACAGCCAUUUGCUGUAAAAGAUUAUUACAUUCUUAUUUCCACUGUGUAAUCAUAAUUUUGAAUGUACUCUCUAAUUUCCCAACAUCGUUUCCAAUUCCAUAUAAACCCAUAUGAGGGUGCUCCCAGCAAAACUAAUUAGGGGGAUAACUGUGUAAUGUGAAAAAAUAAAGAUUUGGAAUAUUAUCCUUGUGUUUUUUGAUUUGCUAAAAUUCAGCUUGUAACAAUUAGAUACUACAGCUGGAAAAUUAGUGAUUUUAUUUAUAUAAUAGGAUCUGUCACAAAAGAGCCAAACUGGCAAAAUCACUAAUAGUCAUAACCUAAAUCACCGAAUCAACCAAAAUAUUAUAAAGUUCAGCUUUUAUUUUUAUGCCUAUUACCCUUUUCAUGGCAAUGGGUUAUUUCAAAUAUCUCACCACAAGCCCUGAGAACACAGCUGGGUUACUUGAAACCAGUAGCUCUAAACCAGUGGUGACUUGCCCCCUAGGUGACACAUGUCAGUGUCUGAAGACAGUUUUGCUUGUGACAGUUUGGGGGAUGCUACUGACAUCUUGUGUAGGGCUCAGGAAUGCAGCUAAACAUCCUACAGUAGCACAGAGGACAGCCCCCACAAAGAAGAAUGACCUGGGCUAAAAUGUCAACGGAACUUAAAAAAAGGUUACUAGUCUAAGUGAGCUUAAGUUGAGAAACCCUGCACUAACAUUAAGAACUAUGUGUCCAACACGCUUGCAACAUGUUAUGCAAAUACCUGCAUUUUGUGAGGUGGGGGGUGAAUACAGCCAUUCUAGGGAGAGUAAUUUGUUCGAACUUGGGUAUUUCAGCCCAAUAAGCUAGUAAGAUAUUUGCUUUUUCUAACGUGGAUUCAUCAGGGCAGUGCAAUUUAACUAUUUUAUUUAAAAUAUGGUAUAUACUCUUUCUUUGUGGUUUUUCUGUGAGUGUGUUUGUGGUGUGUGAGUGAAUUUCUGAAACAGAACCGUAGCAAGCAAACGGCAGAUUUGGUUUUAUCAUCAAGUUUCUGUUAGACAUUUCGAUAAGAUUAUACAGAGCAUAUAGUGGAUGCCUACUACAUAUUUAUUGAUUUUUGAAAAAAAAUGUUUGUGAACCUAUUUCUGCUAUCUUCCUCUUUAGAGAACUGUGAUUGCAUUUUUCUUCUUUUUUUCUAACAUGUAUAGAGUGCCCGUUGCCAUGGUAAUCACUGAUUUAGCACAACAUGUUUUUUUCCUCCUUCUUUAAAAAAAAAUUAGUUCCCAUUCCUGCCAAAAAGGAACAUAUUAAUCUACCCAUCAUGCUAGCUUAGGGAAGUUGAAGGCCACAGAAGUUGUCAUUUGUGCAAAGACUCCCAGAAAGUCAGUUGUUAGCAUCUUCUGUGCCAAGAACUCUACCCCAAUCCCAGAGAGGAAAUGAGACACUGAAGUAAAAGAUUCUGGAGCUAAGGAGGUAAGGUCUCUCUUCUUUUCUGCAAAGUCCCACAGGAGAUGUGCACAAACGCUCAUGUCUGUCUAAACAAAUUCACCUGCUGAUUAUAGAUUUAACAGACCACUGAUGUCCAGAAAACAGGGACUAACUAGACAGUGCUCUUUAGGACAAAAGUUUACCUUAAUCUACUUACUUCUGAGGGUAGGGGAACAACAACAACAGCAACAACCAAAGAAACAAAAACCUUUCGAGAAGUCUAAAAGAAGUAGAGCAAUCCUAUUGAAGAAACCAAAAUCAACAGUUUCAUUUCUUUAUCAAAUAAAAAGUCCUGCCUGAGUCUCCUGACUGACUACAUUCUUUCUGGUAUUAGGUAAAUCAGAUCUCACGUCCGAUCUAGCCCUGCUGUUCAGACCACGAAUUCCUGUAAACAUACAUAUCCAGAACUGUGCGCAGACCUGUCUUAUGACAAUGGUCUGUGCUCACCUGGAUUUUUAUCACUGGUGCUCUUAGUCAGGAUACCAGAUUCUCCCUAAUUUCUCAAGUCAAAUCCGAAGGCUGCCCUGCUUGUGGUGUUCCACAAAUCUGUCUGGCCCCUCAUGAGAAAUGCCACCUACUUGAAUGAGAGCAUUUAAGUCAGAGGAAGACAGCACAGAGGGUGACUUUAGGUUCCCGUCUGACAUAUUUACUGUUCUGAGAAGAAAGGUAGUGGAAGAGAAAGAAAAACUAAAGUGGAACUGCAGGAUUUUUGAUUUUCAGAAAUGUCUGCUUAUUACCAGAGUGAUAAGAACUCAAAAUUAAGACAUGGGAAAGGAAAAGAUAGGGAUAUAGAGUCAGAGAGCUGUUCCUUAACCAAAGGCUUUACAGAAUUAGAACACAGCUUACACAGGAAAUUCAACGCAAGAAGGUCCUGCUCUAAAUAAAAACAGAUGAGGAGAAAGUCCAUUCAUUUUUAGUAAUAGUAUGCAUGGAGAAUGAACACACGCUGCCUUUCACAUAGACCCUUAUAACUGUUCGUAUUGUUCUGUAAAAUCAGCAUAUUUCUUAUUUUCUUCUGGGAACAAAGACUUGGCUAUGCAUUUCCUUUUAAUUUCAUGGAAAUGGGAAAGGGGUAAAAGGAAAGAAAGAUAAUACUUUCUGAAACCUUGAAUGUUUUGCUGAAAACACCCUUAAAGGAAUGUAUCUCUGUUAGGAUAACAAAAACACUUAAUAAAAUAUUCUUUUUUUUAUUAUUAUACUUUAGGUUUUAGGGUACAUGUGCACAAUGUGCAGGUUUGUUACGUAUGUAUCCAGGUGCCGUGUUGGUUUGCUGCACCCAUUAACUCGUCAUUUAGCAUUAGUUGUAUCUCCUAAUGCUGUCCCUCCCCCCUCCCCCCACCCCACAACAGUCCCCGGAGUGUGAUGUUCCCCUUCCUGUGUCCAUGAGUUCUCAUUGUUCAAUUCCCACCUAUGAGUGAGAACAUGCGGUAUUUGGUUUUUUAUCCUUGCGAUAGUUUACUGAGAAUGAUAUUUUCCAGUUUCAUCCAUGUCCCUACGAAGGACAUGAACUCAUCAUAUUUUAUGGCUGCAUAGUAUUCCAUGGUGUAUAUGUGCCACAUUUUCUUAAUCCAGUCUCUCAUUGUUAGACAUUUGGGUUGGUUCCAAGUCUUUGCUAUUGUGAAUAGUGCCGCAAUAAACAUACAUGUGCAUGUGUCUUUAUAGCAGCAUGAUUUAUAGUCCUUUGGGUAUAUACCCAGUAAUGGGAUGGCUGGGUCAAAUGGUAUUUCUAGUUCUAGAUCCCUGAGGAAUCGCCACACUGACUUCCACAAUGGUUGAACUAGUUUACAGUCCCACCAACAGUGUAAAAGUGUUCCUAUUUCUCCACAUCCUCUCCAGCACCUGUUGUUUCCUGUUGUUUCCUGACUUUUUAAUGAUGGCCAUUCUAACUGGUGUGAGAUGGUAUGUCAUUGUGGUUUUGAUUUGCAUUUCUCUGAUGGCCAGUGAUGAUGAGCAUUUUUGCAUGUGUUUUUUGGCUGCAAAAAUGUAUUCUUUUGAGACGUGUCUGUUCAUGUCCUUUGCCCACUUUUUGAUGGGGUUGUUUGUUUUUUUCUUGUAAAUUUGUUUGAGUUCAUUGUAGAUUCUGGAUAUUAGCCCUUUGUCAGAUGAGUAGGUUGCAAAAAUUCUCUCCCAUUCUGUAGGUUGCCUGUUCACUCUGAUGGUAGUUUCUUUUGCUGUGCAGAAGCUCUUUAGUUUAAUUAGAUCCCAUUUGUCAAUUUUGGCUUUUGUUGCCAUUGCUUUUGGUGUUUUAGACAUGAAGUCCUUGCCCACGCCUAUGUCCUGAAUGGUAUUGCCUAGGGUUUCUUCUAGGGUUUUUAUGGUUUUAAGUCUAACAUGUAAGUCUUUAAUCCAUCUUGAAUUAAUUUUUGUAUAAGGUGUAAGGAAGGGAUCCAGUUUCAGCUUUCUACAUAUGGCUAGCCAGUUUUCCCAGCACUUUUGACAAAAUUCAACAACCCUUCAUGCUAAAAACUCUCAAUAAAUUAGGUAUUGAUGGGAUGUAUCUCAAAAUAAUAAGAGCUAUCUAUGAAAAUAUUCUUAAAGCAGUUGGUCUCUAAAAGAAAAUGUGAGGUGUAUGCAAUUAGUAGCAAAUAUGUAUUCAAUUGUACUAAGCAUGACCAUUCUUCCCCUUUAAAUCCUCAAUCCAUGGAGUGUGUUUGUUAAUUAGGCAGCAACUUGAAGAGCGCAGCUUUUCCCAUAGAAGUGAGGUGCUCAACUACUCAACCAUGAAUCUCUAUGGUUACAUGAAUCUAUGCAUGGUCUGCAAACCACUUACACUCCAGAUUUCAAUUCUGCUGCCAAUAAUAAUAGUAAUAAUACCAUCAGUCUAUUCUAGUAGCGCAGUGCAAAUUUAAGAUCGUUAGAAGAUGAUGAUAGAAAUUUGAAAGCAAUAGAUUACAAAACAAGACUACAUCAAAGCAUAACACGCAACACAACACUUUUUCAAUUAUGUACAUAACCUGGAAAAACUAGUUGGCAAUGAAAAAAAUACAUUGAGAAGUACCUUAUUAGUUCAUUAAAUUUUUCUGUAACCUUAUGUUUCUUCAAAAAGAAAAAAGGGUUACUAGUCUAAGCGAGCUUUUAUCUUCGUUAAGCAGCAUCCUUUUAACCCCCAUCAUCUCUAAUAACUAAAUAAAACAAGAAGAGAAGUUAAAGAAGCAAACUAGCAGGAGAAACUGUAGGUUGCUAUAUCAAUGACAAUUAUUCCAGUGAUAAUGACCUGACUUUUUGGAUUGGUCUUCUAGCUAGUCCACAGGGAUCCACUGUUCAGGAUGGUGUUAGGGGAGGUGGGCUUUGUCAGUUUGCACAAGGUUUGACAGGUUUUAGGGUUUAAAUCUGCAAUUUCUAUGGCCCUGGAAAAGUAAUGUCUAAAUAUUGCUUAACUGAAAGUUGUUGAUGAGAAUAUUUCAGUGCUCUGUGCAAAGAGUGGUUCCGUGGAUCAGUUAAUUUUAUUGAACAGAAAAAAGGUGAAGUAUUGUUGUAGGGAUUGAAUGAGAACAGACACAUAGUGUUUAAAGUAAUUCCUGGCACAUAGUAGAUAUCCAAGAAGGUGUCUGACUCCACCCCUUCCCUUCCUCUCUUUCUGAAUUGUAUUCCACUCUUAGGUGCUAGUGUAUACAGGUCAUGAGCUAAUGUGCCCAUUGAUGGUUUAGCUUGUGACUUUCAGGUCAGUUUUCUAAGUUGAUAAAAACAAGUAUUAUGGAUAAUAAAAUUCAGAGUCAGUUCCAAAAUGGAAUAAUUGGCUUGUCUCAUAUUCCAUAGUCAAAGCUCAUCUCAGCUAAGUUUUCCAUUGCUCACAAUGAGGACUAGGGAAGAGGAAUUGCUGCAAAUCCAUUUUCACAGGUGGGUAAUCAACACAGGAAGCACUGUCAACUGAUUGCGGACGUGAUACCAUCUAUGCACUUAAAAGUUUUCAUAUUAUCAUUAUUAUUUAUACAGAUACAUUUGCCUAGCCUGACCAUUCCAGAUCAGUCUUCUGAACGCUAGCUGCAUAUCAGAACCACGUAUGUACAGUUUCAUAAAUAUGACAAUACUCAGGCCCCACCCUGAGACAAGUGGCACAAAGCAUUGAGAAGUGGAAAGGAUUCUCACCAGGUGAACCACUCUGCGAAUCAAUAGAAACAGAGAUCCAGGUCACAGAAAAAUAUUAUCUUUCUUCCCUGGGAAUCACCAGCAUUUGCACAGAUUUCUACAACUAGCUACAUGACCCAGGGCAAUUUCUUAAAGUGGGACACAGUGUGCUCUGAAUGCAGACCUGACACUAAAUUUAUAAUGGUUGGGUAGCUGCUGCCUUAUGGAGAAUGGCCUGUGGGACACUGAACUUACACAUUAAACAGCUGAGCCAACGGACGUUUCAACUGCCAGCAAAAUAACAGAAUGGGGAGACCCUCUGUUCAUUUGACACCAGUGCCAACUCGGAAAAACAGCAUUUCUUCUGCAGUUAUUGAAAGAAAGUAACCCAGAAGUACCCACAGUCUUUUAGCUCUUAAAAUGUGGAGCCACUUUUUCUUUUCCAGCUUAUUUUCAAUGCAAACCUGAUGCCAGGCUCAAGAGAAGUACAACGUGCCUUGGUUCCUUCUCCCUAGUCUUGAUCAGCUUCUUCAAUUCCACUUGCUGAUCUGGCCUCCAGUUUGGCUAGCUUUUUAGAGGAGUCUCUCAGCACUACCAGCACAGGAGUUUUUGACCUAUGUUACUAACACGUGUAUCAUAUCUAGAUCCACCCCUCACCAUAUGUCAUGUUACUGUCUUGUUCCUGGUUAUUAGUGGUAUAUUCGUUUUUCUACUGUAUGUUGUUAAAUUUUAAAUAACUUAAACAAUUACAAUAGCAAUACAAUUUCAUUAUAAAAACCAGAACAUAUGGAUAAACAGAAAGAAGAAAAUAAUAUCCACUAUCACACCAUUAAGGUUACCAACACAAUUUUCAAAUGAAUUUCCUAUGUACAUAUUUUUAUGUUUAUAAAAAUGCAAUCAUAGAAUAGUCAAUAUGAUUUUAAAAAGUCUCUUUUAUGAAAUAAAAUAUGUGAACAUCUUUUUGUAAAUAAUUAUUCAUUUGAAACAUUCUUUUAAAAUGGCUGUAUAGUAUUUCCUUGUGAUUUUUCAUAACCAUCCCCACAUUGAUAAAUAUUUAGCUUGUUUUGAAUAUUCUGCUGUUAUAAACCAUGACAGGAUGAUAGUUACAGCUCUUCUUCAACUGCUACUACCCAGUUUGAUUGAUAAAUGACACACUUCCCUUGGCCUAGGAAGAAGCAACAGAUUCUGAUAUUUGCAAAAUCUGUCAAUGUGGCUUAUCAAGAAAUAGACUCUAUCUAUUUAUCUAUCAUCUAUAUAUUUGACAAAACAUUUUGAAAAAUGACUUUUAAAAAUCUAAUAAGGAAUGUGAAGGCACAAACAGCCCAGGGUCCCAAGUGAGAAAGCAUCUGUCAGAGAUUCAUCAGUCAGGAGUACCUAUUAUUUUAACAUUUUCAUGGUCAUAUAAGAGGAAAGAACAGGUAAAACAGCCAAAGUAUCAGCUGAUUCCCAUUGAUUUAGAACAGAACUGCAGAAAUGGUGAAAGAUUUUUCUACUAGAUUUAGCUUCCCAGCAAGAAAUCUAGACAGCAAUCUGCAUGCAGCUAACAAGAUGCCUUCGGGAAACCAAAUACAAGAUUCACGGACACUAUUUUGUGAGGGCCUCCUCUACCCUUCGUCUCCCCUUUUUCACAUACCCCACACCAGGAUCAGAGAAGUCUGGGGAAAAAUCAACAGAAACAACAUGCCAGGUAGGUUAUGGCCACUGUAACCUUGCUGCAGCUUAGGCUAGGCUCUUAGGAUGACCUUCUCAAAAUCCUUCAAGGAGAAGUUGGCUGAAGGAAUUUUAUCCAGGUCUGGAAUGGUCUCGUCUCUAGAGGUCUAGAUCCAAAAAAUAAAAAGACUGCAAUUUUUAAUCUGACUCUUACCAGAAUGAAAAACCAUCUAAAUGCUCCCUAGGGGCAUUAAAUUGUUAUGUUACCAAAAAUGCUAUGCUGUGGGAAAUACUAAUAUUAAGUAAAUAGCCCCUGUCAUUUUUACCAAGGACAUUUGGGGGGAAAAAAUCAUUGACGAAUAACUGAAACCAUCUUAAGUUGCUGAAACUGACCUAAUGAAAACCACCAUCUUUCUAAAUUCCUUAGCCAAUUAACUAAGGGAGGAGACCACCCCUCGUAUUGUCUUAUGCCCACUUUCUGCCUCCAAAGAAAGAAAAAGUAAAAACUAAAAGGCGGAAAUGAAAUCCACAAGCAGACCGCUCAGCACCACACCCUGGGCCUGGUAGUUAAAGAUCGACCCCUGACCUAAUCGGUUAUGUUAUCUAUAGAUUACAGACAUUGUAUAGAAAAGCACUGUGAAAAUCCCUAUCCUGUUUUGUUCCGAUCUAAUUAACGGUGCAUGCAGCCCCUAGUCACAUACCCACUGCUUGCUCAAUCAAUCACGACCCUCUCACGUGCACCCCUUAGAGUUGUAAGCCCUUAAAAGGGACAGGAAUUGCUCACUCGGGGAGCUCGGCUCUUGAGACAGGAGUCUUGCCCAUGCCCGCAGCAGAAUAAACCCCUUCCUUUUUUAACUCGGUGUCUGAGGAGUUUUGUCUGCGGCUUGUCCUGCUACAUAACAACUUAUAUCAUUCAUCACUACCCUCAUUUCCAUUAAACAAAUGGUUAAGUUUAGGGAGAAUGAUGCCAGAGGCUGAAGGCCGAUCCUAGAACCGAAAGAUGAGGGUACAUAAUUGAAGGGAAGACUCACUCAGGAGAGAAAAAGAAAAGGAGUCAGACUGGGCUAUCUGAGAAUUCACAAAGGAAACUAGAAGCUGUGUAGUCAAAAUGUUCCUGGCAACAUGGCAAAUGUAUUUCAAAUCAAACCACGCAUUCACUAGAUUCUCCUUUUCUAAUCUUUUGUUUUCUCUUGGCCUGAGUCAAAGUCCUUUGUAAAACUUUCAUGGAUCAGAUGAGGAAGAAAGGGGAGAAGGAGAGGCAGGCAGACAGGGAGGAAAUGAGAGGGUGUUCCUGCUGGCAAACUCAGUGGGGAAUGAACUACCUCCUUCAGAGGGAAAAUGAGGUGGGAGGGACAGAGAGCCAUGUGAAAGAAAGGUGCCAGUUUCCUUGCAAGAUGGGGGCAGGGGAGGGCUCUUCUCAGAAAACUAGAAGAGAUUUUGGUGGUGAUAUCAGAACUGGAGCAUCUGCCUUCUAAGGACUUUGUCUGCCAACUGGCAUAGGGAGCACUGCCCAGAGAGCCAGUUCUCCUUGUAAUAAGGAAAGGCAGGAAAUGGGCAGGGAGCAGUAAACUCAGUGGGAAAAGCCACAUUUGAAACACUUGGGAGACAGGAGGAGAAAAAAGAAGCCACACAGAAUUUUGGUGGCACAAGGAGAAGGACAUCUAUAUCUUGUAUUUGCAUGGUGUUUUACAGUUUAGAAAACACAGACACCAUCAUAGGUCACUGUGAGGUGGGAACAGUUAUCACUGUUUUCCAGUUGCAGAAAUUAUCACCCAGAAAUAAGGGAAAAACCUGAUUGCAAGUCUUCUUAUAUGGGUCUGUUCUUUCUACUACAUCUAAGACAUUUCUCUGUGGCAUGCCUGCACUUUGCAGUGUUACCUUCCAAACACCAUCUACUUUCAGAACCCUACACUUCAGAGAAACUGUACUUGUACCAUUCUUCAAACACACUACAAGUUUUCCUGCCUCUAUGUAUUUGUUCAUACUAUUUCUGCCGCUUAAACUUCUUUACCCAACUUGGGCUGUUAGAAUGUUGCCCAAACCUUUCAAGGUCUAAAUCUCCACGUUACCUGUUUUUCUUCUAGGCUAUUUUUUUAAACAUGAUUCUUUGUAUUACAGAUAUUUACAAACAUUUCUUCUCCCAUACUAAAUUUCACUUUGUAUUCAUUUUACUGCCUAGUUAAGCUCCUUGCAUAGUAAGGAAAUUAGUUUUCAAUGAAUAGGCCAGUCAAAAGAAAAAAAAAGAAAAAGAAAAGAAAAGAAAAAGAAA
Molecule: long non-coding RNA, 11759 nt
Organism: Symphalangus syndactylus (siamang)
Lineage: Eukaryota; Metazoa; Chordata; Mammalia; Primates; Hylobatidae
Source: RefSeq, a predicted model, not a curated record